This 464-nucleotide ribosomal RNA is filed under the name uncultured bacterium. RNAcentral's name for it is "partial 16S ribosomal RNA". It matches the Rfam family "Bacterial small subunit ribosomal RNA", at positions 339 to 795 of the family's 1533-position model. The record is from RNAcentral.
CUACGGGUUGCACCAGUGGGGAAUAUUGCACAAUGGGCGCAAGCCUGAUGCAGCCAUGCCGCGUGUAUGAAGAAGGCCUUCGGGUUGUAAAGUACUUUCAGCGGGGAGGAAGGGAGUAAAGUUAAUACCUUUGCUCAUUGAUGUUACCCGCAGAAGAAGCACCGGCUAACUCCGUGCCAGCAGCCGCGGUAAUACGGAGGGUGCAAGCGUUAAUCGGAAUUACUGGGCGUAAAGCGCACGCAGGCGGUUUGUUAAGUCAGAUGUGAAAUCCCCGGGCCCAACCUGGGAACUGCAUCUGAUACUGGCAAGCUUGAGUCUCGUAGAGGGGGGUAGAAUUCCAGGUGUAGCGGUGAAAUGCGUAGAGAUCUGGAGGAAUACCGGUGGCGAAGGCGGCCCCCUGGACGAAGACUGACGCUCAGGUGCGAAAGCGUGGGGAGCAAACAGGAUUAGAUACCCCAGUAGUC